RNAcentral lists this unclassified non-coding RNA (250 nucleotides) under Hevea brasiliensis (rubber tree). The record is from RNAcentral. Lineage: Eukaryota; Viridiplantae; Streptophyta; Magnoliopsida; Malpighiales; Euphorbiaceae.
GAAAAACUUCUCCUAGGGUUGCUAAAGUUGAACUUCAAAUUAGAAUUUGAACUUGAAAAUCCAACAAAGCAGGAUUCCAUUGAUGAAUAAAAUUCCUGAAUACAUCAGAGGGUGCCUAUUCAGAGUGCUUACCAUAAAAUAAUUACAUUCACAUGAAAUGAAAAAGAAAGUUAUUUAGAAAUAAAAGUAAAGGAAAUGGCUUCAACUGAAAAAGAAAUACAAACUGAAUGAAAAAAAUAAUUAUUAAAAG